GAUGAACGCUGGCGGCGUGCCUAAUACAUGCAAGUCGAGCGAACGGACGAGAAGCUUGCUUCUCUGAUGUUAGCGGCGGACGUGUGAGUAACACGUGGAUAACCUACCUAUAAGACUGGGAUAACUUCGGGAAACCGGAGCUAAUACCGUAUGAUAUUUUGAACCGCAUGGUUCAAAAGUGAAAUACGGUCUUGCUGUCACUUAUAGAUGGAUCCGCGCUGCAUUAGCUAGUUGGUAAGGUAACGGCUUACCAAGGCAACGAUGCAUAGCCGACCUGAGAGGGUGAUCGGCCACACUGGAACUGAGACACGGUCCAGACUCCUACGGGAGGCAGCAGUAGGGAAUCUUCCGCAAUGGGCGAAAGCCUGCCGGAGCAACGCCGCGUGAGUGAUGAAGGUCUUCGGAUCGUAAACCUCUGUUAUUAGGGAAGAACAUAUGUGUAAGUAACUGUGCACAUCUUGACGGUACCUAAUCAGAAAGCCACGGCUAACUACGUG
This 497-nucleotide ribosomal RNA is filed under the name uncultured bacterium. RNAcentral's name for it is "partial 16S ribosomal RNA". It matches the Rfam family "Bacterial small subunit ribosomal RNA", at positions 28 to 507 of the family's 1533-position model. The record is from RNAcentral.